Molecule: transfer RNA, 84 nt
Filed under: Albidovulum sp.
Lineage: Bacteria; Pseudomonadati; Pseudomonadota; Alphaproteobacteria; Rhodobacterales; Paracoccaceae
Also listed under: 1 other name
Description: tRNA-Leu
Rfam family: tRNA
About the family: Transfer RNA (tRNA) molecules are approximately 80 nucleotides in length. Their secondary structure includes four short double-helical elements and three loops (D, anti-codon, and T loops). Further hydrogen bonds mediate the characteristic L-shaped molecular structure. tRNAs have two regions of fundamental functional importance: the anti-codon, which is responsible for specific mRNA codon recognition, and the 3' end, to which the tRNAs corresponding amino acid is attached (by aminoacyl-tRNA synthetases). tRNAs cope with the degeneracy of the genetic code in two manners: having more than one tRNA (with a specific anti-codon) for a particular amino acid; and 'wobble' base-pairing, i.e. permitting non-standard base-pairing at the 3rd anti-codon position.
Source: RNAcentral
GCCCGAGUGGCGGAAUGGUAGACGCAGCGGAUUCAAAAUCCGCCGCCGCAAGGUAUGUCGGUUCGAGUCCGACCUCGGGCACCA